This is a long non-coding RNA of Megalobrama amblycephala (Wuchang bream), 4256 nucleotides long. RefSeq lists it as uncharacterized. The transcript has 3 exons. Lineage: Eukaryota; Metazoa; Chordata; Actinopteri; Cypriniformes; Xenocyprididae. The record is from RefSeq and is a predicted model, not a curated record.
UCUCAAUGAGAGAUUCGGAGCUCUGGGCCACCAAGCGCCCACAUCAAGAUCCUUUGUGUCUCAUCAUCGGACAACAUUAACCGCCCAAUAACGCUGCCGCACGCACGCAGAGGGGGCGGAGACUCCCAGACCCCGCCCAACGCCGGUUAAUCGACGGUCCGUCUGAACCGAACUGCAGUGCAGACCCGGAAUGGGGGGCUUGGCCCCGGUCCAGCACGGUCAAAAUUAGCUCUCUGUUGAAAUAAAUGCAGUCAGCCAGUGGAAGCGGCUGAGUUCUUGACGUCCCAGUCCCUGCAGCCUUGUAUGGGGUGACAGAGCCCCGCAAGGCUGCUGCUCGGGUCUGCUUUCGUCCACAAACGCCUUUUCCAGCAGCAACUUUACAGUGAAAGGACGAGAACAAAGGCUUUAUCUGUUCUUUCUUCAGAAAUGACACCAACAGGAGCAAUGGGGGAUCCCCAUAGAGCUAACAGCUGUGUUCCUGAACCUGGUGGAGGGGAGAGGAACUACCCCGAAAGAUCGACAUUCCAUCUGUCUGACGUGGGAUAGAGAACGGCCCUCUGGGGAGAUUGUAUCCUCAUGUAUAUUAUUUUUUAUUUCCUAAAUCAUGUAUAUCCUUAUUUUCUAUGGUUAUGGCGUGCGGUUCAGAUGAAUUAUGACGCUGGGGCUUUUCCCCCAUCUAUGUGAUUAAUAACAUUUUAGAAAAACCUGGGACUCUAAGCCUUGAUGAUAUGCUCUUCGGAGGGGGCGGCAGUAAAGACACACAGCACCUCAAGACAGACUGGAGCUUCACUAAAGACCCACAUGUCUGUGUUUGCAAACUCCACAGGGGCCCUCGGGGGUCCGGGACCCUGGCGGCGGCGGCAGCAGCAGCAUGUCUUCCACUUGUCCACUUCUACUUUGCACGGCUGGACUCUUUCAUACCUCUGUGAAUUCCUGUGAACAAGAAAAAUCCACCAAGAAAUGUUAACAGUGUUCUUAAUUGACUUGCAACUAUGCUGGAAUGUGACAAACACUAGCGGUCGACCAAUGUGUGUUUUUAAAGACCGAUACCAAUGUCAGGGUUCUAUGGAAGCUUGUUUCCUCCACUAAAUAAAAAAAUUAAAUUAAACUUUUUCUCACAACUCAGAAUUGCAAGAUAUAAACUCAAAAUGGCGAGAUAUGUCAGAACUGAGUGAUAUAAGCUCACAAUUACAAGAAAUAAAGUCCGAAUUGUGAAUCAUAAACGUAGAAUUUAGCGUUUUAAAUUUGCAAUAGCAUGUGAAUCUCCCAAUUCUUACUUUAUAACUCGAAAUUGUAAGUUUAUAUCACAAUUCUGAGAAAAGUCAGAAUUGCGAGUUUCAGAAUUUAGUUUAUAUCUCACAAUUUUGACUUUAUGACUCGAAAUUGUGAGUUUAUAUAACGCAAUUGCGAGAAAAAGUCAGAAUUGCGAUAGAAACGUGACUUUUUUUCUCGAAAUUGCGAGUUAUAAUGUCAGAAUUGCAUGAUAAAGUCAAUAUUACCAGAAUUGCGAAAAAAAAUAAACUCGCAAUUUUGAGUUAUAAAGUCAGAAUUGCGAAUUUCAGAAUUGUUUAUAUUUCGCAAUUCUGACUUUAUAACUCAAAAUUGCGAGUUUAUAUCAUGCAAUGCUGAGAAAAAAAAGUCUUGUGAGAAUUGUGAGAUAAAAAGUCGUAAUUACCUUUUUUUUUUUUUUUUUUUUUAAUUCGGUGGCGGAAACAAGCUUCCAUAGGGUUCCCAUAGAAAUAUCAGUGAAUUCUAAAAGUGAUCUGGAAAAUCAUGGAAAUUAGUAAAUUAGUUUUUUGUUGUUGUUGUUGUUGUUGUUUUGAGUAUGUGCUGCUUAUUUAAUUUGUUCCACAACAUGAUUUUUUUUAAAUUGACGAAUGGCACUAAAGUAAUGCAACUUUAUUUACUUAAUUUCUGUGGGAACCCUGCAGUAUCUGUAAUAAAAUUGAAUAAUAGCAAAUGACACUGAAUUGCCAAAUGUAAACUUUUAUGUUUUUUGCAUUUUUAUUCAUUUAUAAUUCUCUAAAAAGUAUUUGAAAUCAAAACUAGCACCGGUCGGUUAUCGGCCAUUUUGACAUUAUCGCCAAAUAUAUCAGUCUAUCACUACUCACAGGAUCAUUUUGAUGUCCCUCCUCAGAUCCAUACAUACGUCUUCAUUACUAAACCACGUCAACGUCAGUCAAUACUCACACCUUACAGUAUUUACUAAGGCUAAGAGUCCCCACUUCUCAUGCAGUUACUAAAAAGCUACAGAGUUCAUCUUUUUUUGUUUCAUUUUUUAGAAUUUGCUUGUUAAUUUUUUGCUUUUUAACUUUUUUUGUUGCUUUGCCAGUAUAUUAAAGUGUAAUCAUGUACGUUGUGAUAUAGAAAUAGCUGUAGAGACGCAUUGUUUCCUUGUGGUAAGUGACUGAGAUGCUGCCACGGAUUUGAGACACUGAUGAAUGGUGCUAUUUUGGACUUUAAUCUGCUCCUUGGUAAGGAAGCUCAGAUGGGUUUUAUUUUAUAUUUUCAUGUUGAGAAGAGGUGUUGGUUCUUUAUUGUCUGGUUGUCGUAUCUCGGAUCGACUUUAUUCCCCCUUGUUGUUUCUGUGUGGCUUUCUCAUUGGACAGAAAAACAGAUUUGCUGAAGAGUUGGUGUUUUGUUUCCUUUCAUUUUUUUUUUUUUUCCUCCUCAGAGAUGAUUAUUUGCAAAAUAAUUCUGAAACUACAGACAGUCGGAGCAAUCACAAAACUGCAAUUAUUAACACUAUAUUUACCCUUUAAUGUAAAGGUUUAAUUCAAGGAGUAGUUACAGUUCCUGGCACUAGUCACUUCAGGCAAUAGCAAACUCAGUCUAGAUCUCAUAAAUAAAGCACAGGGUACCUUACAGAGCGAAUCUCAUGUUUUUGUUGGGCAGUCAAUUCCUUAAAUACAUCAAGGACGCAUUCAAAUCGACGCAGGAUGUUGUAGAGGGUGACGAUCAGCGGUGCAAUGAAUCACUAAACUCGCGGUUCGGAUCAAAUUACGUUUGUUUUUAAUGCAACUUUAAGUAAAUGAAAAGCAAAGCCCAUUUUAAGUACUUCAAUAAUAAUUAAACAUAAUUAAAGACAAAGUAUAUGAAUUUACAAAUAAAGUAAGGUCUAACAGCAGUAUUCAGGUACAGAAAUUGAAUAAUUAAAUGUAAAAUGACACUAUAGUGUUCACUGUAUAAAUUACAUAUAGAUUAAUCUUUGUUAAAGAUGUGUUUUGUUGUUUGUUUAACAUUAAUGACAUAGACAGCAGCAGAUAUUUAUAGGCUGCUGUCACUUUAAGAGCUAAUGAAUGGAUGCUAUAUAGCUAUUUAGCAAUAUAGAAACGUUUACGUUUUUCCCCUCUUCGUGCGCUCGAAUGGUUUAAAAUCGCUCGAAUGUCUAAAUUGUCAAGAAAAAACAUGUGGAAAUGAUAAACUUUCACUCUAUGAUGGUUAAACUUAGCAAUUAAUCCGUGAAUCACAUGCUUGCCGAACCGCGAGGCGUGGUCCGCACGGAUCGACUGCGAUCCGUUGCGCCGCUAGUGACGGUGGUGUAUAUAUUACACACACACACCAGGGCAGCUGAGGUCAGAUUGAUCAUCCGCCGUGUCCUACACCAGCUAGGAACGUCUAAUAAGUACAAAAACACUCAUCCGUUUAGAGCGCGGUGUCCUUGGAUGUGUUUUCUAAGGCAAAAAAAUGUAGCAUCAAAACCAACGUUCUCACUGACAUUUUUAGCAACCGCUCUUGUAAAUGAGUUUUAUGGGUUUUAGGAAAAGAACCAAAAGCUUUAUAUUUAUUCUUCUGGGUGAUUCAUUUAAGUAGCACGGGGUCGUCACUCAGUAUUUGCAGUUUUGUCUUUGCUUCCAGUUCACAUACUUCUAACAAUCCUAAUUCAAAGACCAACUGGAAAGCCCACGUUAGUUUCUUAGUCUUCCAUUUUUCCACUACACUGGGGACCUUCCCAGCUUGCUCUAGUCCUUCCUUAGUGCUUACUGCGUAUCGACCGCAUGCUCUCCGCUCUUCCUUUUGUUUCUGAUCUGAAUAAUUCUCCUCGCAGUUUCUUCUCAUAGAUUAGGUAUAUGCCAACUGUGUUGUAAAUAGCCAGCGAAUAGCUUUGUCGUAUGUUGAAUUAUUCUGUAAUAAUUGUGUAUGAUUGGUGUACAAAACAUGAAGUCGAGCCUCGUCAUCUUUUUAAAAGAUGAACUGGUGUUUCAUGUCAUUUUGCAACUUAAGCUGUAGUUGAAUAAAUAUGCAAGCUCUCACUA